ACUCCAUUCAGUUCUUGACAUUCAACAUGACACCAGCUUAUCUUAUCAUCGCCUUUCUCUGGAUUAAAGGAGUUUACCCCAAUAAACAAAAUCAGGUUUUUCAGUCUCCAACUCAACUGUUAGGAAAACCAAACAUUCAAAUAAACCUGACCUUAACUCAUAACAUCUCGAGCUAUGACACAAUUCUGUGGUAUCACCGCUCAGCAGGAGACACCUCCAUGAAACUGGUUGCAUAUGUCAAUUAUAAAACCCCGAAAGUUGAGCCGGGUUUUGAAAGCCGUUUCAGUGUGAGUGGAGAUGGAGAGAAAACCGGUUAUCUUCACAUCCUGAACCCAAAACACCCCGAAGACAGCGGAGAAUAUUUUGGAGCAGCAAUAAAGACUUCAUUCAGUUCUUGACAUUCAACAUGACACCAGCUUAUCUUAUCAUCACCAUCAUCAACUUUCUCUGGAUUAAAGGAGUUUACCCCAAUAAACAAAAUCAGGUUUUUCAGUCUCCAACUCAACUGUUAGGAAAACCAAACAUUCAAAUAAACCUGACCUUAACUCAUAACAUCUCGGGCUAUGACACAAUUCUGUGGUAUCACCGCUCAGCAGGAGACACCUCCAUGAAACUGGUUGCCUACAUCUAUUAUAAAACCCCAAAAGUUGAACCGGGUUUUGAAGGUCGUUUCAGUGUGAGCGGAGAUGGAGAGAAAACUGGUUAUCUUCACAUCCUGAACCCAAAACACCCCGAAGACAGCGGAGAAUAUUUUGGAGCAGCAAGUCAGGUGAGUGCUGUUACAUUUCAGCAAUCUCCUCCCCAAUUAGUGGCAGAGAAAAGUGAAGUCCAGAUCAACUGCAGCCAUAAUGAUGGGAACCUUGCUCUAAUGCUCUGGUAUCAGCAUAUGAAAGAAAAUCAGUCUAUGACCCUCAUUGGGUAUGGAUAUCAAAAUACCCGCCAAACAUUUGAGGGUGUGAUGUGUCUCUUAUAGACUUUGGCUGAACAAAACCGUGUUUGUCCUACAACAACACAAACUUGGAGGAUGUCAGCUGUGAUCGGGUUUCUUCUCGUCUUCCUUUCAAAUCAAGCCAGCAGUGUGACCUUUCAACCAUCUCAUCCAAGAAUAGUCACUGAAACAACCAAUGUUGAAAUUACAUGCAGUCAUGAUAAAAAUGACUUCUAUCUAAUGCUUUGGUACCAGCAAAAGGAAAAUGGUUUAAUGAGCCUCAUAGGAUACAGCUACUUCGGCAGUGACUCUGCCAAGGAAGAAGAAUUUGACAAUCGGUUUGACAUUAAAAGAGAAAACAUGCAAACAGGAGCUCUGAGCAUCAGCAGUGUGAUUGUAUCAGACUCAGCCAUGUACUUCUGUGCUGCCAGCACACAGUGAUGUGUUUUGAUGUAAUGCCAAUGCUAAAAACCUUCUUCUUUCUGAACCAGGCUGCUGGAAUGUGCCUCAAAAAUGUCUUUUUAGGCAAACUUUCAGUGGUUCAAACUCACAGAGUCUUUACUCCACAUACACACCAGUGAGCCUGGGGUGCCCACUUCCUUAAACCAGUUUUUUAGACCCUCUGAGUUCAUGUCAAAGUUUUUUAAUAACAUUUUUACACUUGCCAAGUACUUCCUUUUACAACACAUCAACUUCACUUGCUGACAUAUAAUCUUAUUAUAUUUGCAGGCUACAUGGUGUAAA
Non-coding RNA from Oreochromis aureus, 1672 nucleotides. The record is from the annotation of a RefSeq genome assembly. NCBI's taxonomy places the organism in Eukaryota, Metazoa, Chordata, Actinopteri, Cichliformes, Cichlidae.